GAUGAACGCUGGCGGCGUGCCUAAUACAUGCAAGUCGAGCGAACGGACGAGAAGCUUGCUUCUCUGAUGUUAGCGGCGGACGGGUGAGUAACACGUGGAUAACCUACCUAUAAGACUGGGAUAACUUCGAGAAACCGGAGCUAAUACCGGAUAAUAUUUUGAACCGCAUGGUUCAAAAGUGAAAGACGGUCUUGCUGUCACUUAUAGAUGGAUCCGCGCUGCAUUAGCUAGUUGGUAAGGUAACGGCUUACCAAGGCAACGAUGCAUAGCCGAGCUGAGAGGCUGAUAGGCCACACUGGAACUGAGACACCGUCCAGACUCCUACGGGAGGCAGCAGUAGGGAAUCUUCCGCAAUGGGCGAAAGCCUGACGGAGCAACGCCGCGUGAGUGAUGAAGGUCUUCGGAUCGUAAAACUCUGUUAUUAGGGAAGAACAUAUGUGUAAGGAACUGUGCACAUCUUGACGGUACCUAAUCAGAAAGCCCCGGCUAACUACGUG
This 497-nucleotide ribosomal RNA is filed under the name uncultured bacterium. Its description in RNAcentral is "partial 16S ribosomal RNA". It matches the Rfam family "Bacterial small subunit ribosomal RNA", at positions 28 to 507 of the family's 1533-position model. The record is from RNAcentral.